GCGGCGUAAGCUGUCGCUAUGGGAUGGCCCCGCGGUGCAUUAGCUAGUUGGUAAGGCAAAGGCUUACCAAGGCGAUGAUGCAUAGCCGAGUUGAGAGACUGAUCGGCCACAUUGGGACUGAGACACGGCCCAAACUCCUACGGGAGGCAGCAGUAGGGAAUCUUCCACAAUGGACGCAAGUCUGAUGGAGCAACGCCGCGUGAGUGAAGAAGGUUUUCGGAUCGUAAAGCUCUGUUGUUGGUGAAGAAGGAUAGAGGUAGUAACUGGCCUUUAUUUGACGGUAAUCAACCAGAAAGUCACGGCUAACUACGUGCCAGCAGCCGCGGUAAUACGUAGGUGGCAAGCGUUGUCCGGAUUUAUUGGGCGUAAAGCGAGCGCAGGCGGAAGAAUAAGUCUGAUGUGAAAGCCCUCGGCUUAACCGAGGAACUGCAUCGGAAACUGUUUUUCUUGAGUGCAGAAGAGGAGAGUGGAACUCCAUGUGUAGCGGUGGAAUGCGUAGAUAUAUGGAAGAACACCAGUGGCGAAGGCGGCUCUCUGGUCUGCAACUGACGCUGAGGCUCGAAAGCAUGGGUAGCGAACAGGAUUAGAUACCCUGGUAGUCCAUGCCGUAAACGAUGAGUGCUAAGUGUUGGGAGGUUUCCGCCUCUCAGUGCUGCAGCUAACGCA
RNAcentral lists this ribosomal RNA (666 nucleotides) under uncultured bacterium. Its description in RNAcentral is "bacterial SSU rRNA". It matches the Rfam family "Bacterial small subunit ribosomal RNA", at positions 197 to 859 of the family's 1533-position model. The record is from RNAcentral.